This 672-nucleotide ribosomal RNA is filed under the name uncultured Pseudomonadota bacterium. RNAcentral's name for it is "bacterial SSU rRNA". It matches the Rfam family "Bacterial small subunit ribosomal RNA", at positions 60 to 721 of the family's 1533-position model. Lineage: Bacteria; Pseudomonadati; Pseudomonadota. The record is from RNAcentral.
AGUCGAACGGUAACAGGAAGCAGCUUGCUGCUUCGCUGACGAGUGGCGGACGGGUGAGUAAUGUCUGGGAAGCUGCCUGAUGGAGGGGGAUAACUACUGGAAACGGUAGCUAAUACCGCAUAAUGUCGCAAGACCAAAGAGGGGGACCUUCGGGCCUCUUGCCAUCGGAUGUGCCCAGAUGGGAUUAGCUUGUUGGUGGGGUAACGGCUCACCAAGGCGACGAUCCCUAGCUGGUCUGAGAGGAUGACCAGCCACACUGGAACUGAGACACGGUCCAGACUCCUACGGGAGGCAGCAGUGGGGAAUAUUGCACAAUGGGCGCAAGCCUGAUGCAGCCAUGCCGCGUGUAUGAAGAAGGCCUUCGGGUUGUAAAGUACUUUCAGCGGGGAGGAAGGGAGUAAAGUUAAUACCUUUGCUCAUUGACGUUACCCGCAGAAGAAGCACCGGCUAACUCCGUGCCAGCAGCCGCGGUAAUACGGAGGGUGCAAGCGUUAAUCGGAAUUACUGGGCGUAAAGCGCACGCAGGCGGUUUGUUAAGUCAGAUGUGAAAUCCCCGGGCUCAACCUGGGAACUGCAUCUGAUACUGGCAAGCUUGAGUCUCGUAGAGGGGGGUAGAAUUCCAGGUGUAGCGGUGAAAUGCGUAGAGAUCUGGAGGAAUACCGGUGGCGAAGG